RNAcentral lists this long non-coding RNA (635 nucleotides) under Homo sapiens (human). RNAcentral describes it as "non-protein coding lnc-CCDC73-6:1". Lineage: Eukaryota; Metazoa; Chordata; Mammalia; Primates; Hominidae. The record is from RNAcentral.
GUAUAUAUCCAAUAUAUGAAAUUUGCACGGAGAGCAGAAGGCAUCAAAUCUGGAAGAAUGAUAUUUAAAAAAGCAAGAGAAGAUACCAGAACCCGCCACCAUGUCUAUGUUACUGCAGCACUCAUGGAAUAUUACUGUAGUAAGGUAAAUACUGAAAUACAAGUGUAAAGAUAAAACAACUUCCUUCAUCUGAGGUUCGUAAAAGAAAGGUGAUUUUAGCUUCUGUCAUUAAGCUUUUAUUGCUCCAUUUUGUAAAGGCAGUCUAAGUGUAUCUGUGUAAAAUUUUAUGGAGCAUCAUCCAAAUCCCCAACUACUUGCUAAUUUAUGCUUCAUUAAUCACUAUAUUUCUAAUUUGUGCUUUAUUAAUCACUAUAUUAAUCACUAUUUCGUGAUUUCUAAUCACUAAACUCCUUUGAAUAGUUUCUAGCUCAGCAAUUUUUACUUAACAUGAUUUUAAUUUGUUUUAAUUCUUACAUAUUUUGUCAUAUGUAGGUAUAAUUUUAAUAUUCUUUCAAGUGUUUUUUAUCUGACAUUUCAUGGAAAUCUGUACUUUACUUUCUUUACUUGUAGGACAAAUCUGUUGCCUUUAAGAUUUUUGAGCUGGGGCUAAAAAAAUAUGGAGACAUUCCAGAGUA